RNAcentral lists this ribosomal RNA (480 nucleotides) under uncultured bacterium. Its description in RNAcentral is "bacterial SSU rRNA". It matches the Rfam family "Bacterial small subunit ribosomal RNA", at positions 28 to 507 of the family's 1533-position model. The record is from RNAcentral.
GAUGAACGCUAGCGGCAGGCCUAAUACAUGCAAGUCGAGGGGUAAUUUUGCUUUCGGGCAGAAACGACCGGCGCACGGGUGCGUAACGCGUAUGCAACCUACCCACAACUGGGGGAUAGCCCGGAGAAAUCCGGAUUAAUACCCCAUAAUGCAGGGGUACUGCAUGGUACUAUUUGCUAAAGAUUUAUCGGUUGUGGAUGGGCAUGCGUCUGAUUAGUUAGUUGGUGAGGUAACGGCUCACCAAGGCGACGAUCAGUAGGGGGUCUGAGAGGAUGAUCCCCACACUGGUACUGAGAUACGGACCAGACUCCUACGGGAGGCAGCAGUAGGGAAUAUUGGUCAAUGGGCGGAAGCCUGAACCAGCCAUGCCGCGUGCAGGAUGACGGCCUUCUGGGUUGUAAACUGCUUUUAUCAGGGAAGAAAACGGCCAUGCGUGGCAGAUUGACGGUACCUGAAGAAUAAGCACCGGCUAACUCCGUG